This 346-nucleotide unclassified non-coding RNA is filed under the name soil metagenome. RNAcentral's name for it is "partial contains 5.8S ribosomal RNA, internal transcribed spacer 2, and large subunit ribosomal RNA". The stretch from base 2 to 121 matches the Rfam family "5.8S ribosomal RNA", at positions 35 to 154 of the family's 154-position model. The record is from RNAcentral.
AGAUGAAGAACGCAGCGAAAUGCGAUAAGUAAUGUGAAUUGCAGAAUUCAGUGAAUCAUCGAAUCUUUGAACGCACAUUGCGCCCGCCAGCAUUCUGGCGGGCAUGCCUGUUCGAGCGUCAUUUCAACCCUCGACAUCCCCUUGGGGAAGUCGGCGUUGGGGACCGGCAGCACACCGCCGGCCCCGAAAUUGAGUGGCGGCCCGUCCGCGGCGACCUCUGCGUAGUAAUCCAACCUCGCACCGGAACCCCGACGUGGCCACGCCGUAAAACACCCAACUUUCUGAACGUUGACCUCGGAUCAGGUAGGAAUACCCGCUGAACUUAAGCAUAUCAAUAAGCGGAGGA